AUUGCUUUAGGAACCUGUUUCAUUCCCUUUAUUUUUCCAAUACUUUUAAUUGUUGAUUCUGAAUUUGAUAUUACGGUGUUAAGAUGUGUGCAUAUAAUUUUGAUUUCAGCUUUGGCCCAUUGUUCUAUAUUCACUUUUCUUUCAUUUUUAUUUUGUUUCAAUUCUGUUUUGAUCUCUAUAGUUUUAUAUACCAAUUAGAGUUUGAUUUUCUUCUCGUUAAUCAUUGCAUUUCCAAUCAAGCGUAACCUUUCAUGCAUUCUACCUUUAGAUUCUUAUGUUUUUCUUUUAGUUUCUUUUGAUAAGUCAUUUUAGUUUAGGUAUUCCAAUUAUCUUUCUCCAUCAUAGAUUACAGUCUUAUUUCUUUUCCUUUAUUUUCCCCUUUUGCAUUCAUUUUAGAUAAAAUCAUUCAUUUGCAUUAGCAUUUAGUUCUUUUCUUUUUCAGAUUCCAUUUAAUUUUCAUUUUCCCCACCUAAGUUUUAGUUUUAUUAAACAAAUAGGCUUAAUUCUACAAUUCUAUCUUAACAAGAACCAAGUCCUUGGAUUAGACCAUAGGUUGCCCCUAUACUACAUUAGUGGGGAAUUUAGGUUUGUUGAGAUUUUAGGCGACGAAAAUCUUUUCAACAGUAUCAGAGCAGGUUUUCUGAUCCUUUUCUACUUUGUCUUUGUUGCCGCCGGUGGCGGCGGCCACCGACGCCCCCCACCCCAAAAAAGUUUCUUUUUCAACCUGUGCCUUUAUACUUCAAUGGGCAAUCUCUGGUUUCUGUCUCGCAUAUGUCCGGUGUUGCUGUCCGCCACUGCCCGUUGCCGCUCACCACCAUCUAACCGUCGUCUCUAACCACCAUCUCCGGCCACCGUCUCCUGCCACCACCGCCGACACCGUCUCGACCAUCGUCUCCGGUCAUCGUCUCCGCCACUUGUGCCACCGAUGCACUAACACCUAGUCCUACCUCUACUGCUUCCGCUAUCUUCUUCUCUAUUCUGAAUGGUCUUCAAGGACAGUCAGUGGUUAACACCAAGAAAUUUCAACACUAAAAUUAUGGGUUGAAACAAUUUCACCAACCCUUUGUCAAAUCUGUCAGAUUUGUUUUUUGGGUGCUUUGAUAAG
This 1105-nucleotide long non-coding RNA is filed under the name Vigna radiata. Its description in RNAcentral is "long non-coding RNA (VRAD_LNC009133)". The record is from RNAcentral. Lineage: Eukaryota; Viridiplantae; Streptophyta; Magnoliopsida; Fabales; Fabaceae.